This 30-nucleotide non-coding RNA is filed under the name Mus musculus (house mouse). The record is from RNAcentral. Lineage: Eukaryota; Metazoa; Chordata; Mammalia; Rodentia; Muridae.
UCCAAUGUUUCCAGGACCUGCUCAGGAAAG